RNAcentral lists this unclassified non-coding RNA (2660 nucleotides) under Thrips palmi. Its description in RNAcentral is "mAPK regulated corepressor interacting protein 2, transcript variant X1". Lineage: Eukaryota; Metazoa; Arthropoda; Insecta; Thysanoptera; Thripidae. The record is from RNAcentral.
CAGGGGAGUAAACUUUGGAAAACUCGUCUUUUCGAUCCUUGAAUUCAAGGCGACAGGGCUGCCUGCAAGCCCUGCAAGCCCUGCGGUUGCUUCAGGACUUGCCAUGUGUCGUGUCCCUCGCGCGAGAGCGAGAGCGAGGGCAGUCUGCCGUCUGCUUGUGACGUCACGAAGUAUCACACAAUGCUCAGCUGUGCAAGCAGUAACCGAACAGAGGGUUCCGGGAGAAGAUGUAUACUGUAUCCAAGGGCCCAAGCAAAAUCGUUGCUAAGACGCGGAGAGGUAUCUCACAAAACCUUGAGAGGUUGGAUACCCUCCGCGACGCUAGAAAAUCCACAGAUUCCAAAGAAGACCAGGAUUAUGUUAUAAACACUCCGAAACCUGUUUUCCAUAUGAAUGGGAAGAAAUCUAACCACAAUAGAUACCACCAAGAAGUCAUAAGUCCACAGCAUGAAGAAAUAAUUAAAUUUAUUUAUGACUCUUGGACAACAGUAUGCAAAGAGUGUGAAGUAGAGCCACAGGAAGACGGACAAAGCCCUCAGCCACCUUCUCCUGUGUACUACAACGACUGCGAGCCCAGCGAGCUCUUGCAAGAUUUCAAGCCAUUUGACCUGGAAUCAUGGUGGGGCAAGAGAUUAUUCAACAACAUAACAAAAUCAAUUCCUUGAACCAUAUGGAGGACACUUUUGGAAGCUGGUGUGCAAUUUCAUUAUCAUGGGAGCCAACACAACAUGAUGAUCAAGUGUGGCAUGUUUGCCAUGCAUUAGUGGUUCGUGGAAUGCCAAUUGAGAUGAGUCUUGGUGUAUUUGUGGACCAAAAAAAUUUUAAAUGCAAGAAAAGGCAUCUAGAAGAAACACCUUCAAGAUUCCUGACCGGAUAGUGGACUCGUACUCAAUGCGCCCAUUUCGUCUACUAAAAUUGGGCCUAUUAGUAAGAGGUUGACGAUUGGAUGAAACUGAAGGCCACCUUUUUAUGUGAGCUUUUCUUUUUCACCUCGUCCCUAGCAGUAGUCAAAACAGAGUAGUUUAAAUGAGUGCUUGUACAACUUCACUGAGUUGUAUACAGCAUUAUGUAGUGAAAGAGAAAACAUAACCAACAGCAUUGGAAUAAUCUGUCUUAUUCUUUAUAAGCAGCUAUUUUGUUUUCUUUUUGGAGAGGAAGCCAGUCAUGAGAGAUGAUGUGUCCAUCCUUUUGUAGCGGCACCAUAAUUUUUUGUGUUUGCUUUACAAAGAAAUUUUAACCAACUGUUAUCGUGUCCAUUGUGUUAAAUAUUGUAAUAGGUUUUGCUACAUUGUUAUGUUUUCUAAUUUUUGUACUAGUUAAAUAUUUUUCUUCAGAGGUUUCAUUAUUUUAUCAUUAUAUCACAGAAAUUAUUUACUUUUUUGAUCUUUUUUUUUCUCCUUUUUUUUCAUCUUAUCUUCCUGUUCAAAUUUGAUUCUGCACUUUAAAACGUCUCAUGAACUUGCAGCACCAACACACACCAUCAUCAGUUGUUAAAUAAGAUUAAUGUACUACCAGAUUUAACCACAUAAAAAUUUUAUUUCAUGAUCAAUUUUCCUGAAAGUUCCUAUAUUUUGCUAAGGGUGUGGCUCACAUUGUUGAAUACAGCAGGUUAGCAAUAAUGGCACAUUUUUAUGUUAGGAAAUUUCCUGCUGCAUUUAAAAUUGAACCUCACUUAAUUCCUUUUUUCCCCCUCAAGGACCUGUGUGAGAGUGUGUGUGAAUAACAUGCUGUUACUUCCUGCUAUGUUAUAUUUUUAUAUUGUAUAUUUAAGGUGCACAAUGAUUUGGCAUUUUAAUAAUGUGACAAUGAUAUUCAUGUCUGCUCAUGAUGAUGGUGUUUGUUGUAGACUUGAUUUUGUAUGUGAUGUUGAAGGGUCAAUGACUUUUGUUGAGAAAUAUCCGAUGUUGGGGUCGGAUAGAAAGCUGAAGUAUUACCACUCGAAAAGCAAUAUUCAUCAUCAUUGUUCCAAUAAUUUUAUGUGGUACAAGCUUUCACUUAAAUUGUGCUGUUAAAUGUCUCUCUUACUUGUUACAUUUAAUAUGCAGGGUUGCCAUGUAAGUGGUUAAGAAUUCCCUGUGUGCUUUCAUGUAGGAGAGAUUGUUUACCAGGCAAUUUCUUGGCACUGAGGCCAAGAAUUUACCUGGUAUGUAGGCUAAAAUGGCCAAGCCUCAUUUCAACAUACAUCUUGGGAAUGCCCACUUUUAUCACAACACUUCACAGAUGUAUGGGGAACACCUGCCUUCUCCCUUCCAAUUUUAUUUUUGGACCUGGAGCUUGCUUUGGCAUUUUGUCAUGAUAAGCAGUGUUUCUAGAUUGAAACUAUCUUCCCUCUGUGCACUCUCAUCGCUCUAUUUAGUGAAACUAACUGGCACUUGUGUCAUUUUAUUAAUCAUAAAAAUUAUCUUUUCUUAUGACAGAUUUUUAGGUAUCUUAUCAGAAUCUUCAUUUAAUUAACACUGUUGAACUAUUGUAAGGAUGGUUCUAUGUCCCUUGCCUGACUGUUAUUGUGGCAAAGUUGACUGGCUAGUCUGUAAUGUUGUUGAAUGUCGGUGUACCUUUGACUUUGCGUCAUUUGUGCUAGUGAAUACAUAUUUGUUACAGAAACUUGUUGAGUAAAAAGAAAACGGAACAAAAAUGAAGAAUAAGAUGCGUCACACGUU